GCCCCCCUCAAGAUGAGAUUUCCCAAUUCGUAAGACCCCUGGUAGACGACCAGGUUGAUAGGUUCGGGGUGGAAGCGCAGCAAUGCGUGCAGCUGACGAAUACUAAUCGGUCGAGGGCUUAUCCAAA
Molecule: ribosomal RNA, 127 nt
Filed under: Paenibacillus ginsengarvi
Lineage: Bacteria; Bacillati; Bacillota; Bacilli; Caryophanales; Paenibacillaceae
Description: partial 23S ribosomal RNA
Rfam family: Bacterial large subunit ribosomal RNA
Source: RNAcentral